GUGGGGAAUAUUGGACAAUGGGCGAAAGCCUGAUCCAGCCAUGCCGCGUGUGUGAAGAAGGUCUUCGGAUUGUAAAGCACUUUAAGUUGGGAGGAAGGGCAGUAAGUUAAUACCUUGCUGUUUUGACGUUACCGACAGAAUAAGCACCGGCUAACUUCGUGCCAGCAGCCGCGGUAAUACGAAGGGUGCAAGCGUUAAUCGGAAUUACUGGGCGUAAAGCGCGCGUAGGUGGUUUUGUAAGUUGGAGGUGAAAUCCCCGGGCUCAACCUGGGAACUGCCUACAAAACUGCAUGACUAGAGUACGGUAGAGGGUAGUGGAAUUUCCUGUGUAGCGGUGAAAUGCGUAGAUAUAGGAAGGAACACCAGUGGCGAAGGCGACUACCUGGACAGAUACUGACACUGAGGUGCGAAAGCGUGGGGAGCAAACAGGAUUAGAUACCCGAGUAGUCC
Molecule: ribosomal RNA, 450 nt
Filed under: uncultured bacterium
Lineage: Bacteria
Description: partial 16S ribosomal RNA
Rfam family: Bacterial small subunit ribosomal RNA
Source: RNAcentral